Small nuclear RNA from Nyctereutes procyonoides (raccoon dog), 184 nucleotides. RefSeq annotates it as U2 spliceosomal RNA. The transcript has a single exon. The record is from RefSeq and is a predicted model, not a curated record. NCBI's taxonomy places the organism in Eukaryota, Metazoa, Chordata, Mammalia, Carnivora, Canidae.
AUAGCCUCUUGGCCUGUGGCUAAGAUCAUGCAUAGUAUCUGUUCUUAUCAGUUUAAAAUACAGUGGCCAAAACUGGACAUGCUACUCAAAAAUAAGCUAGUACAAAGAAUAGAGAAAAGAACGAGAUCCAUGACCUCGGAUGCCAUAUUCAUUUAAAAAUAUUUCAGCAUCAUGUUGACUUUUU